Molecule: ribosomal RNA, 532 nt
Filed under: uncultured bacterium
Lineage: Bacteria
Description: bacterial SSU rRNA
Rfam family: Bacterial small subunit ribosomal RNA
Source: RNAcentral
GGCCUUGACAUACUAAGAACUUUCCAGAGAUGGAUUGGUGCCUUCGGGAACUUAGAUACAGGUGCUGCAUGGCUGUCGUCAGCUCGUGUCGUGAGAUGUUGGGUUAAGUCCGCAACGAGCGCAACCCUUUUCCUUAUUUGCCAGCGGGUCAUGCCGGGAACUUUAAGGAUACUGCCAGUGACAAACUGGAGGAAGGCGGGGACGACGUCAAGUCAUCAUGGCCCUUACGGCCAGGGCUACACACGUGCUACAAUGGUCGGUACAAAGGGUUGCUACCUCGCGAGAGGAUGCUAAUCUCAAAAAGCCGAUCGUAGUCCGGAUCGCAGUCUGCAACUCGACUGCGUGAAGUCGGAAUCGCUAGUAAUCGCGGAUCAGAAUGCCGCGGUGAAUACGUUCCCGGGCCUUGUACACACCGCCCGUCACACCAUGGGGGUUUGUUGCACCAGAAGUAGGUAGUCUAACCGCAAGGAGGACGCUUACCACGGUGUGGCCGAUGACUGGGGUGAAGUCGUAACAAGGUAGGCGUAGAUGA